RNAcentral lists this transfer RNA (73 nucleotides) under Ovis aries (sheep). It matches the Rfam family "tRNA". Rfam says of the family: Transfer RNA (tRNA) molecules are approximately 80 nucleotides in length. Their secondary structure includes four short double-helical elements and three loops (D, anti-codon, and T loops). The record is from Rfam by way of RNAcentral. Lineage: Eukaryota; Metazoa; Chordata; Mammalia; Artiodactyla; Bovidae.
UCCCUGGUGGCUCAGAUGGUAAAAGCCUCUGCCUGCAAUGCAGGAGAGCCAGGUUUGAUCCCUGGGCUGGGAA